AAGGAUCAUUAGAGAUGCCGAAAGGCUUUCCAAACACCUGUGCACCGGGCUUCGGCCCAAAAACAACACAAACAAAUGUCAUGAACGUGAUCUAUUAUAAUCAGAAACAACUUUCAACAACGGAUCUCUUGGCUCUCGCAUCGAUGAAGAACGCAGCGAAAUGCGAUAAGUAAUGUGAAUUGCAGAAUUCAGUGAAUCAUCGAAUCUUUGAACGCACCUUGCGCCUUUUGGUAUUCCGAAAGGCAUGCCUGUUUGAGUGUCAUGUAGACUCAACCCCCCGGGUUUUCCCGGUGGCGUUGGAACUGGGCCCUGCCUCUUCUGGCUGGCCUUAAAUGAGUUAGUGGUAUCCACAGACGUUGUAAGCACUCGUCGACCGGAGGCCGCUCACAACCCCCCACUAUUUUGACUCUGACCUCAAAUCAGGUAGGACUACCCGCUGAACUUAAGCAUAUCAAUAAGCGGAGGAAAAGAAACUAACAAGGAUUCCCCUAGUAACGGCGAGCGAACCGGGAAGAGCUCAAAUUUGAAAUCUGGCGUCCUCAGGGCGUCCGAGUUGUAAUCUACAGAAGCGUUUUCCGUGCCGGACCGCGUCCAAGUCCCUUGGAACAGGGUAUCAAAGAGGGUGACAAUCCCGUACUUGACACGACCACCGGUGCCAUGUGAUACGUCUUCAACGAGUCGAGUUGUUUGGGAAUGCAGCUCAAAACGGGUGGUAAAUUCCAUCUAAGGCUAAAUAUUGGCGUGAGACCGAUAGCGAACAAGUACCGUGAGGGAAAGAUGAAAAGCACUUUGGAAAGAGAGUUAAACAGUACGUGAAAUUGUUGAAAGGGAAACGAUUGAAGUCAGUCGUGUCCGAGGGGUUCAGCCGGUUCUGCCGGUGUAUUCCUCUCGGACGGGUCAACAUCGGUUUUGGCCGGCGGAAAAGGGCACGGGGAAAGUGGCACCUCCGGGUGUGUUAUAGCCCCGCGUCGCAUACGUCGGCCGAGACCGAGGAACGCAGCUCGCCUUUAUGGCCGGGGUUCGCCCACGUACGAGCUUAGGAUGUUGACAAAAUGGCUUUAAACGACC
This 1068-nucleotide ribosomal RNA is filed under the name uncultured Tremellales. RNAcentral's name for it is "eukaryotic LSU rRNA". The stretch from base 410 to 1068 matches the Rfam family "Eukaryotic large subunit ribosomal RNA", at positions 1 to 649 of the family's 3401-position model. Lineage: Eukaryota; Fungi; Basidiomycota; Tremellomycetes; Tremellales. The record is from RNAcentral.